Molecule: transfer RNA, 72 nt
Filed under: Firmicutes bacterium CAG:552
Lineage: Bacteria; Bacillati; Bacillota
Rfam family: tRNA
About the family: Transfer RNA (tRNA) molecules are approximately 80 nucleotides in length.
Source: Rfam by way of RNAcentral
AGGGGUGUAGCCAAGCGGUUAAGGCACGAGACUUUGACUUUCGCAUCGCUGGUUCAAUUCCAGCCACCCCUG